UCUCUCUGAAUCUGCGAACGGCUCCGCAAACCAGUUGUAAACCAAAGCAAGCAAACCCGUGGUCUGCCUUUCAUUAGGUGGGCUGCGGGUGAUACGGAUAACCCUGGUAAUUCUGAGGCUAAUACGAGACUGUAGUCCCUGGCUAACCGGGAAACUGGAAGGCUGGCGGGCGUGUAUCUAUUUGCAAGACGGAUCCAGGAAGGGGUGCACGCUCUGACCGCGACAAAGACAGUUCCGACAAACCCUCGGGUGCGUUGGUUCUGAGCGGCUCUUGCGCUGUGCUUCUGACCUAUCAACUAGAUGGCAGCGUAACGGACAUGCCAUGGUUACAACGGGUACAGAGGAUUAGGGUUCGACCCUGGAGAGUGGGCCUGAGAGAUUGAGC
Molecule: ribosomal RNA, 385 nt
Filed under: uncultured myxomycete
Lineage: Eukaryota; Evosea; Eumycetozoa
Description: bacterial SSU rRNA
Rfam family: Eukaryotic small subunit ribosomal RNA
Source: RNAcentral